CAAGGAGCAAAAGCACGUGAGCAAAAGCCCCCAGAUUUUCUCUCUCGCGCCCGCUCUUACUCGCGCCUGCGCACAAACGACUGGCGAUCCCUCAAAUCUGCGUCAAAUGAACGUCUAGUUCAGAACUCUGCCAUAUGACUCUGCCGUGCAUCGUCGUGAGGUGCAUCGUGCAACGAUGCAAACGAUGCAUGUGCAAACGAUGCAUGUGCAACGCCGCAAACCAAGGAAAUGCUGUGUGCUGGGUGACCUGAAGCAGCGCAUCCCUGGUGGAGCACGUAUGCUGAAUCGUCUGUAAAAUAUAUUACGCUUCAGCCAUCCAAGUUCUACCAGAGUCUGCGCACUUGUGCAUUUGCCCUUCAUUGUAUGGAUGCUGCAAAGCCAGCAUACCCAUAGCUUUAGAAUAGUGAACUUCUGGGCUAGUUGGUUAUCCAACAUAAUGAGUUUUGUGCCAAGGCCACACGCACAAGAGAGGAAACAACACGGGCGCUUCCAUGGCCCUCAUACGAACAACCGUGGUCAGCCGACAAGCCUCUAAUUCAGUUGAAGUAGACAAAUGAAGAAAACAAGGCUCGUAUUAGUGACAUGAUGUGUGUAUCUUUAAUGCCAUAACAUAAUAGGCAGUCUUCACCCACUAUACAAUACAAUAGAAUCUUUGUUGUGCAUAAAGAAAACAAAGUACAUAUAGCAGGCCUACCAAAGCCUCAGAGGGCUUGACUGGCAGUGCCUGACAGUCAGGUCACAAAAAAUUGCACAGGGUUAAUAGCGGAGUUAGCUAUUAGCGGGUCGGAGCAAAAUGUUGAAUAGUUAUACAAAAUGUUACAUUAAACAUCGAAAAUUCUAAGUAGUUUCUUAAUCCCACGUCUUGUGUUUGCUUCUAGCACAGGCGUUGGCAAUUUAUUAAAUAUGGCUGGAACAUAGUAUUGCCGCGUUCUCCUUCGGUACUUUGUCGCAGCCUUGGGGAUGAUGUAGGGUUCCUUCGGUCUUAAGGAGCGGACAGGCGUAUAUCGUGUUUUAAGAUCAUUAUUCCAGAAGUGUUUAAUUACAACACUUUCGACAAUCAGGGAAGUGAAGUUUGGCAAAUUCAACAACAUAAAGACGUCUGCAUCUUGCUUUGGACACAAAUUGUAAGCCACUGUUGACAGCAGUGAACGUAAAAUUGAAUUAAUUCUUGAGCUCCACCUAAGAGUACAAUGGCCAUACACAGUCAAGCCAUAACGUAGCACACUGUAGACUAAAGCAGGGACAAUAAUUUUUCGAACAGAGAUUGGCAUAAGACAUUGCAUAUUGUAUAAUACACAGGAGACCGUGCGCAGCCUUUUACAGAGGUGGGAUAAUUGCGAGUUCCAUAAAAGAUCACACUUUGGAGGUGUUGCAUUCCUGACGAGAAAUGUGGGCUGGUCCUGAGGACAGUACCGCCUAACAAAGCAUCUCAAAGCACUAGCUUUCAUAAAGAAGGAAUGUGAAAAACUGGCGCAUGACGCACAUGCUGGACAUUUGAAAAAGCCACCUUGGCAUGACAGAAGCCAUCAUGGCCUGAUGGCUGGAGCAUCGGGCUGCCUGUCUGGGAGACUGAGGUUCAAUUCCACCAUUGUACACACAUUUCUUUAUAGCAUUAUGGGUGGACUUCACUCAGUUUGGAAGCACCUAACAGAAAACUCGAGGUGUAUCGAACGUACACGAGCAGGUCACACUGCACAUGAAAUCACAAGUUUAAGAGAUGCAAGGCACAGAAAUAUCACUUUGAUAAAUGAGAGAGCGCGAGGCUUCCUAUUGUGCACAUGUACAUGGGAGACGUUACAGUCGUCACAUUCUAAAUAUGCUGUCGCAUACUUUGGAAGUUAGUGGUCCAAGUUCUGGCCUAGUUUUUCGCAAUCCCUUCAAGCAGUGGCAAGACAUUUGGAAAGCACUAGAAAAAUCCUAGGCGUUCUUCAUGGAGGAUGGCAUUCCUUAGUUUAUUGGCAGACCCACUGUGGUGGAUCUGUGGCUUUAGUGUUUUGCUGCUGCGCAUGAGGUUGCAGCUUUGAAUCCCGACUGUGGUGGCCACAUUUUGAUGCAACGGAAUGGAGACACGUUGGUGCACUUGGAUUCAGAUGCAUGCUAAUAACUUAAGCACCCUCCACUAUAGCAUCUCUCUUAGUCCUAGUGUUGCUUUAGCACAUUUAACACACUCAGUCAACCACCGCAUUGGCAGGGCUAUCGGUGACAAAUUGAACUAAACCUAUCCACUCAUAUUCUCUCCAAGAUUCUUCUUGGACAUUCCAGUGCACACUCCGGUGAUCUAAGAGCUACAGAUCGCCACUAAGUGUCCUCCGCACUGCAAAGUGAAAAAGCAUCUUCAUGGGAGGUUUCUUUGUUUUCUGCAAACAAAAAUGGAACUGGUGCAUCUUGGGGCUAUGUGAUCACAAGAUGUUUGUACAACAAAAAGAUUUAACCCAUGAAACAUAAAGGUCCUCCAGAACCAAGUUAUGGAAUCCUAAAGUUAAGGAUGCAAAGACUACGGGCAAAAACUAUAGCUAUGAGAAAAAAAGAUAACAGGAUUCCUUGUUACCGUUUAGUGUUCCUUGUCACUAUCAAGAAGCUGCUCAUCAGAUGGUUAUAUGUUUGAGCAGUGUUAAUUUGUGGUGGAAUGUUGCCUUGCUUGUGUGUAUGAUGAAUUGCAGUUCCAUAUGCAGCACCUUCAUAUUGCAACAAGAUGUAAUGUGUAGCUUCUGUAAUUUGCAAUUUGGAGGUGACUGUGCAAUUUGAAGACAAUCAGUAUGAUUGAGCAUCUUAUGUGGGAAGCUUCUGGCUUCAAUUCCUGUACUAAAAGCGUUUGAAAUUUUACUCAUGAUUGGACAAGUACAUAUUUCUAACGUCUUUCUUGGACAUUCUGAAUUUCUGUAUUUUACUUGCAUUUAAUGGAUGUUAGUACAUCAUUGUUUUCAUGGCUGGCUGUGUUUUUUGCUGCACAUUUUCUUGCAACAUUGUUUCAUUGCAUUUAACAGUGCCAUCAUUUCCUGCUCUGAAAGCUUUUGUGGGAUCGCCUUACCUUACCUUAAUACAGUGUCAUCAUGACAUUGAUUUGGGGCUUGUUUAUUAUGGUCACAGUUUCAAUUAACUAAGUUACAUAAAUUGUUUUCAUUAAUUUGUGUGUACGUGUCUUGACUUGGUUGAGUGGUAAUGCCCAUUUUCGAUUUCUUAUCAGCAUGUUGAAGUCUGAACAUGCCUUAUAAUGUGAAUGUAAUGCACUGAAUGGAAUGCAAGCAGGCACAAUUAAAAUUUGAGCUGUGUACUACUCUUACUGGUUUAUAAUCAAAUAUCAUGCUGAUAGAGCUAUAUGCAGUACAUAUUUAAAAUACAUGAAAUGGAACCUCAUUUACAAUGUCCAAAGUCUUUGCUCAUUCUAACAGCUGCUUAAUAGUUUUAAUAGCUGUAGCAAAAUGCCAGUGUUUCUGCAUUCACGUGUUCAUUUUGCUAACGUGUUGGUAGAGCUACUAGCAAACCUCCAUCCACUGGUGGAUUUCACGUGAUGAAAGGCUUCUUGUAUUUAUCAUCAUAGCAUUCGUGGCUAAGGGCUCUGGUGUCUUCAAUGCAUUUCCUGGUUAACAUAACUGACCAGUUCAGCUGGUCUACUGUCAGUUUUCAAGCUUGUGCAGCUGGUUUAUUUCGUGCCACAUUUUUCAUGGUUUUAACUGGUCACAAGUGGUAGCACUAAGGCUAGUUGAUUAUCAUUGCAUAUGGUUUGAUUCUCUCUUUGCUCCUACACAAGCUAUUAUAUGCUUUUUUGCCAUGUGCUUCCUGUAUUCUUGCUUGGUUUAGGAAGAAUGUAUUACCUUGGUAGUCAUUAGGACAUUUUUUUUCCAUGUGCAUAGCAUGGUUUAGAAAGAAUAUGUGACCUUGCCUGUAAGCUUAUUUCUUUUCAAGCACAUCUUUUACAGCGAAGCAGUCUAUGGCUAGGGUUCCAUGGAUUUUUUGUGUCUGUCAACAAAUCUGCAUGUGUAAAAAUUCAGCUCCCGAAUUUGAUGCAAAAUCGCUUCAUUCUAUGCAAAAGCUUAUACGUCUCAUCACUUGGAUAUGCAUUUUCAGUAGAUUACUUAUAAAUAGGCACCAUUUUCAAAAUCGGUAGACUCUCUGGUAGAUAAUUUUGCUUGCUUAUGGGGGUAUGAGCCAUUGCUUAAGGGGUUAGGAGCCAUUCAUUGUCUUACAUGACAGAUUUGUCAUUCAGUUUAGCGGGCAUAGAAAUGGUUAUGCAUUUAAUAACAGAGGUGAUACGAGAUGUGUGUGCAUACCUGUCGUCACGAUGGCCACCGAUCAGGAUACUAAAUGCAUAUCCAAGUGAUAAGACAUAUGCUUUUGCAUGGAAUGAAGCGAAUUAUAUGAACAUGGUCCUACUAAGACCACUGACCAAGGCACAGCGAUCAAGAAAACUUGUGUGCGCAUUCAUGUGCUGCCGGUUUAGAAUAAAUGUAUGUGCCAGUGAUGCUCUACUUCCACAUAUCCUCAGUAGCAUAAUGGCAAUUUCUCGCCCACUUGGUCCAUUCCGUCGUCCAAAAGUGCCCUUAAUAAUGCAAUGGAACUGCGCCGGUAUUCUACAGCGUCUUUCUAGUGAUCAGGAAAUACGUGCAUGUUCAUGUCCCGCCAAUCAAAAUAAAAGUGCGUGUGCAUGUGCCUUUCAUCGGGUUUGCUGCCAUCACCGCUCAAGAGAAAUUAAAUUUGCUCAUACCUUUGAUCUAAAUUAUGUGUCACCUUGAUGUUGUGUGCUAAACAGCUUUGUUAGCAAUCCACUCCACAGCAGUGGAAUGGUGCACAAUUUUCUUUCUUUCUCUUUUUUUUUAUUGCUUGCAGCUAGGGUUAGUUUUGUCCAUGCAGGUAUGAUUUAACACAAUAUUAGGACGACCAGCGCGUGACAACAGACACGGGGUGAAAAAAGAUGACUGAUGUGUUCCUCCCUGUGUCCUUUGCGUUGCGUGCUGGUCGUUGCAAUGCAGAAUCUGCUCGCCUAAAGCUACACCUUACUUAAACCCAUGGUACUUGGAUAACAACAUAGAUUGAAUAUGUAUUACCUGUGCUUCCUCUUUGCCUACAAUAACACAAGAUAUGUCAAACAUGAUUUCAAAUGUGCUAAUCAGCACUUGAAAUAAUAUGUAUGUUCAUGCUGAUGAAAGUGUACUGACACACUCUUAUGCUGUAGCAAACUCUUGGCAUUCAGACGCAUGCUCAAUGAAACGUUCCAGUUGUGUUCAGUCAACACAGAUGUCAAUGUGCGCGAUUGCCCAGAUUUGUUUUCUUGUGCAUUUUCACUUGAAACUUCCAGCUGAUGUGUUAUUAAGCAGUUAUAGAAUUAUUGAGUGGACGUUGUGGCAUGUGCUACUCUGCGAUGGCUUGCAUCAAAUUUGUGUUGUGCUCCUAUUAUUCUCAUGUUCAGUGUAUUUCAAUUUUGUUUAUCACAUAUUGACAACGUUGUGCAUACUCUUUCAAUAUUACAGUUAAACAUUGAUAUGAACGAAAUUCUUGAUGUAAUGAAUUAUUCAACUUUUUAUAAGUUCUUGUCUAUAGAACAUGUAUUUAGAACCUCAGUAUGAUGUCUAUACAGUCGAACCCGACUAUAUCAAACCCGUUUACAUCGAAUUAUUCUAUAUAUCGAACAAUUUCUGGUCACGGUAUAGUUACAAUGAGUAUAUAUAGCAAAAAUUACGCUUACAUCGAACAAAUAUUGCAGUGACUCCCGAUAUAUCGAACGUCAAGCGGCGGAAAAGUGCCCCCAGAGGUUGGCUUUCCCUCGCGGUAGCGGGGAAACCCGGCGGCGCGGCUCCAUCCAACCGCUCUCCCUACCGUGACCGCGCUAUCUCGGGCUGUUCGGGCGAGCCGUCGACACUCCCCGUGUAGCGCAUAGUGGAGUCUAUUAGGCCACCAUCCUCCCUCUUUUUCUAUCAUCUUUCACUUGCCACCCCUCUCCCCUGACGACGCUUCGCCGUGCUCCCGCACGGGUUGCAGAAUCAAGCGUCCUUCCUUUCUUUAGAUCACUAUCUAGCGACACUCCCCAGCAAAAGAUGAUCCUGGCCCGCCUACAGCGCUUGCUCAGACAGCCAAUCAGAAGCUCUUGUGCUCUCUUCGUGCAAGAUGGCGAAAGUGCGAGUUGUCUGGCUGCUUCUCUGGUUUAUCGUGUUUGCGCCUUGUGGGCCUUCUCCCGCAGUGUUGCCGUGAUGGAGCGGCAGAAUUCGCCGUUUGUCGUGAAGCUCGAAAUCAUAAAUCGCGUCGAACGCGAUGAGAAGUUGGAUGUCCCCGCAGCGUGCAAGAUUCCGAGGAGCACUCUCGGCACGAUUAGGGCUAAAGUGGCCAGACUCGCAACCCGGUGCCAUGGCGCCCGACGCUUACGCACGGCCGUGUACGAGGGGUUCUUCAUACGUGCCGGUUUCCGCGUGCUCGGUGAGGACUGUAAAUUCUGAUGAAUGCGACGAAGCCGUUGCCGAAGUUUGGAGCUAGCUGACAAAAUUUCCGGGACAUUCGAAUCAACGGUGGACGAGUUUGUGAGUGCAGAUGAUGGUGUCGCGACCACGGUAGAGCCCGGAAACUAAGACUACAUCGCCGACAUCGUACCGAGCACAAAUUACAGUAGGAACAUUGAGGAAAGCAACUACGGUCCUUUGCCCAUAUCCUCCGAAGUGACUGGUGCACUCGCAUUAGUCCGGCGCUUCUGCGCGAAUGCGGAAGGUUGCGGCCUCAGCUGCUCCGACUCCUUAGACAGCGUGGGGAAGUGCGUGCGUCGCAGGCAGCGAAAUUGCCCAAGCAGAAGAAAAUGCAGGACUAAUUUAUGCCAAACUAAGCUAGUUUCGUUAAUAAAGUGAUUUUAUAAAUGGUA
Molecule: non-coding RNA, 6838 nt
Organism: Dermacentor andersoni
Lineage: Eukaryota; Metazoa; Arthropoda; Arachnida; Ixodida; Ixodidae
Source: RefSeq, a predicted model, not a curated record